GUCCAGACUCCUACGGGAGGCAGCAGUGGGGGAUAUUGCACAAUGGGGGAAACCCUGAUGCAGCGACGCCGCGUGGGCGAAGAAGUAUUUCGGUAUGUAAAGCCCUAUCAGCAGGGAAGAAGAAAUGACGGUACCUGAGUAAGAAGCACCGGCUAAAUACGUGCCAGCAGCCGCGAUAAUACGUAGGGGGCAAGCGUUAUCCGGAUUUACUGGGUGUAAAGGGAGCGUAGGCGGCCAGACAAGUCUGAAGUGAAAAUCCAGCGCUUAACGUUGGAAGUGCUUUGGAAACUGCCGGGCUGGAGUGCAGGAGGGGCAGGCGGAAUUCCUAGUGUAGCGGUGAAAUGCGUAGAUAUUAGGAGGAACACCAGUGGCGAAGGCGGCCUGCUGGACUGCAACUGACGUUGAGGCUCGAAGGCGUGGGGAGCAAACAGGAUUAGAUACCCGCGUAC
Molecule: ribosomal RNA, 449 nt
Filed under: uncultured bacterium
Lineage: Bacteria
Description: bacterial SSU rRNA
Rfam family: Bacterial small subunit ribosomal RNA
Source: RNAcentral